ACGCGGGAAAGGGCAUGGGUGAAAAAUCAUAAACGUUCGUCAUAAUACAAUACACAUAUUUUCAAAAUUUCGUAUUUGAAUCAAGAUAUAUUUUUGGGUCAAUUAAAAUCAACCAACAGAAUAUAAUAUAAAAAAGUUUCUUAUUUCGAGGUUAUGUUUUUGGCGUCACAUAGUGUUUACUUAAGUUUUAAGUCUUUAUUUUUUCACAUUGGUGGUUUCUUCUCGCGUUUCUGUUUUUUUUUUGUAUUCACAGGAACUUCUAAUCCCGUUUUGUACCUCAGUGAUUUUUUUAUAACUUACUGGCUCUUGCGAAUAAUUAAGUAAAGUGUAGAGGCUUGGACCACAACUACUGGAAGAGAAUAGGAAAAGAGAAGGAAGCCGUCUUUAUAGUAUUUAUACCACAUAUUAAAACCUGGCCAAAACCAUUGAUAGUAAGAAGAGACCAGGGAGAAAAUAGCAUUCAUGGUUGCAUAAUCUGUGCCAGUGGUUCGGAGUCUCAUCUGUUGAUCUAUUUAGAAACACAGUGAAUAAACAAGAUAAGAAUAGCCAAUGUUGGCAAUGGAUAAGGCAAUGAAAGAAGAAGCUGGUCUUGAGCAGGGGUAUUUUUUUCCUACAACUAUAUUUCCAUUAUUUAGUAAGGAUAUAAAUAUAUGGCAGGUCCUAUGUGAAUCCAGUAGGGUAGGACCGGGCCCAAGAACUCCCAAGGCCUGCCCAGAGCCCCAACAAUGGCUAGAACCGUCUCUGUUAAAAAUUAUAAAAUUCUUAUCAAAAGUAAAUGUGACUAUAUGCUAGUUCAAUAUUUAAUGCUUUUAACUAUUCAUUUGAAUUGCUACUUACAUUUAAAAUUUGUCCGUUAAUAGGUGGAGUAAUAAUCUGUUUCUGUCGUUUAUUUUUUGAAUUAUUUUUAGUUAAUUCUGUAGAAUCAAGUGUAUUAUUAUCACAUUUUUCGUUUAUUAUAUCUUCGCAUAUUCUGUG
Long non-coding RNA from Diorhabda carinulata, 975 nucleotides. RefSeq lists it as uncharacterized. The transcript has 2 exons. NCBI's taxonomy places the organism in Eukaryota, Metazoa, Arthropoda, Insecta, Coleoptera, Chrysomelidae. The record is from RefSeq and is a predicted model, not a curated record.